This 513-nucleotide ribosomal RNA is filed under the name uncultured bacterium. RNAcentral describes it as "bacterial SSU rRNA". It matches the Rfam family "Bacterial small subunit ribosomal RNA", at positions 29 to 518 of the family's 1533-position model. The record is from RNAcentral.
AACGAACGCUGGCGGCGUGCUUAACACAUGCAAGUCGAAACGCGAAAGGGACUUCGGUCCUGAGUAAAGUGGCGGCACGGGUGAGUAACGCGUAGAUAACCUGUCUUCAUGUCUGGAAUAAUACGCCAAAGGGGUACUAAUACCGGAUAUUCUUGCUUUUCAUAAGUUAUGCAAGCAAAGGUGGCCUCUGCAUAUGCUACUGCAUGAAGAGGGGUCUGCGUACCAUUAGCUAGUAGGUGGGGUAAUGGCCUACCUAGGCGACGAUGGUUAGCGGGUCUGAGAGGAUGAUCCGCCACACUGGCACUGGAACACGGGCCAGACUCCUACGGGAGGCAGCAGUGAGGAAUAUUGCGCAAUGGGGGAAACCCUGACGCAGCGACGCCGCGUGAGUGAGGAAAAGGCCUUCGGGUCGUAAAGCUCUGUCAAGAGGAAAGAAGUGUACAAUGGCUAAUACCUGUUGUAUUUGACGGUACCUCUAAAGGAAGCACCGGCUAACUCCGUGCCAGCAGCUGC